GGAGGGAUCAUUACAAGUGACCCCGGUCUAACCACCGGGAUGUUCAUAACCCUUUGUUGUCCGACUCUGUUGCCUCCGGGGCGACCCUGCCUUCGGGCGGGGGCUCCGGGUGGACACUUCAAACUCUUGCGUAACUUUGCAGUCUGAGUAAACUUAAUUAAUAAAUUAAAACUUUUAACAACGGAUCUCUUGGUUCUGGCAUCGAUGAAGAACGCAGCGAAAUGCGAUAAGUAAUGUGAAUUGCAGAAUUCAGUGAAUCAUCGAAUCUUUGAACGCACAUUGCGCCCCCUGGUAUUCCGGGGGGCAUGCCUGUUCGAGCGUCAUUUCACCACUCAAGCCUCGCUUGGUAUUGGGCAACGCGGUCCGCCGCGUGCCUCAAAUCGACCGGCUGGGUCUUCUGUCCCCUAAGCGUUGUGGAAACUAUUCGCUAAAGGGUGUUCGGGAGGCUACGCCGUAAAACAACCCCAUUUCUAAGGUUGACCUCGGAUCAGGUAGGGAUACCCGCUGAACUUAAGCAUAU
This 520-nucleotide ribosomal RNA is filed under the name Cladosporium cladosporioides. RNAcentral's name for it is "eukaryotic LSU rRNA". The stretch from base 170 to 323 matches the Rfam family "5.8S ribosomal RNA". Lineage: Eukaryota; Fungi; Ascomycota; Dothideomycetes; Cladosporiales; Cladosporiaceae. RNAcentral also lists the same sequence under 1 other name. The record is from RNAcentral.